CGUGACUGGAGUCCACCUGUGGGAAAUUCAGUUGAUUGGACAUGAUUUGGAAAGGCACACUCCUGUCUAUGUAAGGUCCCACAGUUAACAAUGCAUGUCAGAGCACAAACCAAGCCAUGAAGUCCAAGGAACUGUCUGGAGACCGCCGAGACAGCUCUAGAGAUGACCCGUGUGAUUGCCCCAGGUGAACCCAUAGACGUGCUCUUACCCCUCACUGACCUGGUGGAUGUGAGUUUUACUCCGAGUGAUGCUGUACAACCAUCAAACCUGCAGAUCUGCACCGUGGACGAGGAGAAGAUCCAGUGCAGUCCAGAUUAUAAAGAGAGAGCGUCUCUCCUCAACACUCUUCAGAUUAAAGAUGGAGACGUCUCUGACAUUGGAACUACACAGUACUUCCAGUACUACUUACAGGAUAUCUGGAACAAUGAGAUGGUCCGUGUGAGAGAGGAGACGCUGUGUUUGGACAGUACGUAGGAGAGAUCUAUGCCAGCAUGGGGGACUGCACUGAUGGUGGUGCUGAUGAUCCUGCUCAUCGUAGCAGGGUUAUUGAUGGGUUAUCUGUGGAAAGAAACGCAGUAGCUCCAUGGAGAAUCUGCAAACACCAGCAGCGCUGAAUGACUGAGAACACCAACGAACACCAGCAGCUCACAAUGAAUGGAGUUGUCAGCCAUUCUCCAGGAGAUGUGCAGAUCUCCGUACACCCUGCUUUCACUAACCAGCAACACUGAAAGUGUCUGAAUAUGUCCCCUGUCCUCCUCCCUGGGAUUUCUGCUCCAGGGUUAGUGUGAUAUCUCCAGAGAGAGUGGUUGAAUGUUUGUAGGAUUUAUAUGAAAUGAUUUUCGUAACCAGCAGAUGAACUGAUUCGGUUCAGACUAGAGAGAUCAGAAAACAGCUGCACAGAUCAUUGCACAGUCACAUGUCCAUGUGCUCCUCUGAGGUUCCUCUGUGGUUCCUGGGGAGAGAACACUGCUCUUUUGGUGGAGUUUUGAGAGAGGACCUGUACUAGCGUACUCUGAUGGGUUUUGUGGAGCUCCUACACUAAAUGUUGUGAUGCAGAUGUGCUUCUAGAAUAUCAUGUGUAAUAAAUAUCAGGGGAUAUGGUGUCAGUGGAACAUCAUGUACAGCUGAUUAAACUGGUCCAUACCACUGCAGACUGGUAGAUCGAGUAGAUAUAGGAGUGAUGGAGAGAAGAUGGCCUGAGCCAGUGUUAGUGGGAUAGACUCCGGAUCCACCACAACCCUGACCAGGAAGUUCUCUAGUCCUGAUUAAUAUGGAUUCAUAUGAUUCAGUCUUUUUCUUCUGUAAUUCCACCAUAAAACUCUCCUGUUUACUUUGUGUCCUGAUCUAUAAACACCAUUUUAAUCUGAUUCCCUAAAAUCACCUAGAAAUAAAUCUAGAUUCCAAAUAACAACACUAUUAGAUUCUCAGCUAUUUAAUAAAACACAUUUAUAUCCAGAGUUAUUAAAUCAGUACAAUAUUCCACUUAAACACACUUUGCUGUGCUGAUUAAAGAUGUCAGGAUUAGUUUUAAGAGUGAAGAUCCGCGACGUCAUGACGCAAGGAACGCCCAUCGUACUGCGUAAAGGGGAGUGACGGGACACGGACAUGUUGGAGUCUCGCGAUAACAGGCUAGUGCUGCUGUUGUCCCUCUUCCUCGAUAACGACGUCUAAAUCUGUUUUUUAUUUCAUUUUUAGUGAUUUUAACUCUGCGAUUGGAAAGUUGAUGUAUUUUGUUUUUCUUAACAAAGUAUUUUAUUAUCGACAUCACAGUUAUUGUAUAGUUAUUAGAGAUUAGAGCCGGUGUUUGUGUUCUCUAAGUUUCGAGCUAGCGGAACUAACGGAGCUGCUGUGUGUGACCACUGCUGGAGAUCUGUUAUUAUUAUUAUUAUCAUUAUUAUUAUUUCCGUUGCCCCCACUGUGUCCGGUGAUGGUUCUGUAACGGCCAAACUUCAUCACCCCGUUACCCUCACCUGUAACUCCAGAUGUUCUGGUGUACUCGAAUGGAGCAAGUUUCGAACCAUUGUGGCUCGGUGUGAUCAGACCUCCUGCAGGCCAGAGAAGGGAUUUAACAUCUCUCAUGAUCAGUACCUGAAGGGGAAUCCACAUCUCACCAUCACUGCAGCUGAUUACAGUGCGAGAGGAUUGUACACGUGUCUGUGUAACGGUACAGACAUCUGUAAAGUGCGUCUCCUCAUCGAGCCUCUAGAGAUGACCCGUGUGAUUGCCCCAGGCGAGCCCAUAGACGUGCUCUUACCCCUCACUGACCUGGUGGAUGUGAGUUUUACUUCCAGUGAUGCUGUACAACCAUCAAACCUGCAGAUCUGCAGCGUGGACAAGGAGAAGAUCCAGUGCAGUCCAGAUUAUAAAGAGAGAGCGUCUCUCCUCAACACUCUUCAGAUUAAAGAUGGAGACGUCUCUGACAGUGGGAACUACACAGUACAGGAUAUAGUGAAUGACGAGACUUUAGCCAUCGUAACGGUCCAUAUGAGAG
Long non-coding RNA from Ictalurus punctatus (channel catfish), 2491 nucleotides. The record is from Ensembl. Lineage: Eukaryota; Metazoa; Chordata; Actinopteri; Siluriformes; Ictaluridae.